GAUGAACGCUGGCGGCGUGCCUAAUACAUGCAAGUCGAGCGAACAGACGAGGAGCUUGCUCCUCUGACGUUAGCGGCGGACGGGUGAGUAACACGUGGAUAACCUACCUAUAAGACUGGGAUAACUUCGGGAAACCGGAGCUAAUACCGGAUAAUAUAUUGAACCGCAUGGUUCAAUAGUGAAAGACGGUUUUGCUGUCACUUAUAGAUGGAUCCGCGCCGCAUUAGCUAGUUGGUAAGGUAACGGCUUACCAAGGCAACGAUGCGUAGCCGACCUGAGAGGGUGUUCGGCCACACUGGAACUGAGACACGGUCCAGACUCCUACGGGAGGCAGCAGUAGGGAAUCUUCCGCAAUGUGCGAAAGCUUGACGGAGCAACGCCGCGUGAGUGAUGAAGGUCUUCGGAUCGUAAAACUCUGUUAUUAGGGAAGAACAAAUGUGUAAGUAACUAUGCACGUCUUGACGGUACCUAAUCAGAAAGCCACGGCUAACUACGUG
RNAcentral lists this ribosomal RNA (497 nucleotides) under uncultured bacterium. RNAcentral describes it as "partial 16S ribosomal RNA". It matches the Rfam family "Bacterial small subunit ribosomal RNA", at positions 28 to 507 of the family's 1533-position model. The record is from RNAcentral.